Molecule: ribosomal RNA, 501 nt
Filed under: uncultured bacterium
Lineage: Bacteria
Description: partial 16S ribosomal RNA
Rfam family: Bacterial small subunit ribosomal RNA
Source: RNAcentral
AUUGAACGCUGGCGGCAUGCCUUACACAUGCAAGUCGAACGGCAGCACGGGUGCUUGCACCUGGUGGCGAGUGGCGAACGGGUGAGUAAUACAUCGGAACGUACCUUAUCGUGGGGGAUAAUGCAGCGAAAGCUGUGCUAAUACCGCAUACGCCCUGAGGGGGAAAGCGGGGGAUCGCAAGACCUCGCGCGAUUAGAGCGGCCGAUGCCUGAUUAGCUUGUUGGUGGGGUAAAAGCCCACCAAGGCGACGAUCAGUAGCUGGUCUGAGAGGACGAUCAGCCACACUGGGACUGAGACACGGCCCAGACUCCUACGGGAGGCAGCAGUGGGGAAUUUUGGACAAUGGGGGCAACCCUGAUCCAGCAAUGCCGCGUGAGUGAAGAAGGCCUUCGGGUUGUAAAGCUCUUUUGUCAGGGAAGAAACACCGGCUCUAACACAGUCUGGGAAUGACGGUACCUGAAGAAUAAGCACCGGUUAACUACGUGCCAGCAGCCGCGGUAA